GACGAACGCUGGCGGCGUGCCUAACACAUGCAAGUCGAGCGGAGUCGAUCGACGGAAGCCUUCGGGCGGAAGAUGGUUGACUUAGCGGCGGAUGGGUGAGUAACGCGUGGGCAACCUGCCUCGAAGACCGGGAUAACAGCCCGAAAGGGCUGCUAAUACCGGAUGUGGUCAAGGAUCCGCAUGGAUUUUUGAUUAAAGGGGAAACCCGUUUCGAGAUGGGCCCGCGUCCUAUCAGCUAGUUGGUGAGGUAAAAGCUCACCAAGGCGACGACGGGUAGCCGGCCUGAGAGGGUGACCGGCCACACUGGAACUGAGACACGGUCCAGACUCCUACGGGGGGCAGCAGUGGGGAAUCUUCCACAAUGGGCGAAAGCCUGAUGGAGCGACGCCGCGUGAGCGAAGAAGGCCUUCGGUUGUAAAGCUCUGUCUGGAGGGACGAAGGAAGUGACGGUACCUCCGGAGGAAGCCACGGCUAACUACGUGCCAGCAGCCGCCGGUAAUAGUACUCUAU
RNAcentral lists this ribosomal RNA (510 nucleotides) under uncultured bacterium. Its description in RNAcentral is "bacterial SSU rRNA". It matches the Rfam family "Bacterial small subunit ribosomal RNA", at positions 28 to 532 of the family's 1533-position model. The record is from RNAcentral.